CCUACGGGUGGCUGCAGUGGGGAAUAUUGGACAAUGGGGGGAACCCUGAUCCAGCCAUGCCGCGUGUGUGAAGAAGGCCCUCGGGUUGUAAAGCACUUUCAGUGAGGAAGAACGCCUGGUGGUUAAUACCCAUCAGGAAAGACAUCACUCACAGAAGAAGCACCGGCUAACUCCGUGCCAGCAGCCGCGGUAAUACGGAGGGUGCGAGCGUUAAUCGGAAUUACUGGGCGUAAAGCGCGCGUAGGUGGCUUGAUAAGCCGGUUGUGAAAGCCCCGGGCUCAACCUGGGAACGGCAUCCGGAACUAUCAAGCUAGAGUGCAGGAGAGGAAGGUAGAAUUCCCGGUGUAGCGGUGAAAUGCGUAGAGAGCGGGAGGAAUACCAGUGGCGAAGGCGGCCUUCUGGACUGACACUGACACUGAGGUGCGAAAGCGUGGGUAGCAAACAGGAUUAGAUACCCCAGUAGUC
Molecule: ribosomal RNA, 465 nt
Filed under: Vreelandella stevensii
Lineage: Bacteria; Pseudomonadati; Pseudomonadota; Gammaproteobacteria; Oceanospirillales; Halomonadaceae
Description: partial 16S ribosomal RNA
Rfam family: Bacterial small subunit ribosomal RNA
Source: RNAcentral